Molecule: ribosomal RNA, 513 nt
Filed under: uncultured bacterium
Lineage: Bacteria
Description: partial 16S ribosomal RNA
Rfam family: Bacterial small subunit ribosomal RNA
Source: RNAcentral
GACGAACGCUGGCGGUAUGCUUCAUACAUGCAAGUCGAGCGAACAGAUGAAGUGCUUGCACUUCUGACGUUAGCGGCGAACGGGUGAGUAACACGUAAGGAAUCUACCUAUAAGCGGGGGAUAACAUUCGGAAACGGGUGCUAAUACCGCAUAAUAUCUUCUUCCGCAUGGAAGAAGAUUGAAAGACGGCUCUGCUGUCACUUAUAGAUGACCUUGCGGUGCAUUAGUUAGUUGGUGGGGUAAUGGCCUACCAAGACAAUGAUGCAUAGCCGACCUGAGAGGGUGAUCGGCCACAUUGGGACUGAGACACGGCCCAAACUCCUACGGGAGGCAGCAGUAGGGAAUCUUCCGCAAUGGGCGAAAGCCUGACGGAGCAAUGCCGCGUGAGUGAAGAAGGCCUUCGGGUCGUAAAACUCUGUUAUAAGAGAAGAACAAAUUGUAGAGUAACUGCUACAGUCUUGACGGUAUCUUUUCAGAAAGCCACGGCUAACUACGUGCCAGCAGCCGCGGUAA